GGGGGCGUUUAUGGAUUCGACGGGGAUAGUUCGGGCAUGGGUAGCGGGUAGUGGGGACGCGUCCGCUUCAUCAACGCUAAAGCCAAUUAAACGGCAAACAAAACAACAACUUCGCAUUAGCAGCUUAAUAACCUGUUAGCGAGCUUCUACUCUGCAUCGCCCAUGUGCCGAGAUAGGGGCCCAACUUUAGUGGGAUACGCUGUCACAUCUCCGCCUGGGGUGUGCUGAAGAAGACAAUCAGGCUGACCCAAAGUAGAGCCGGUUACGGGGCGCUACUAGGGUGACAUCAAAACUGUGACUACACCCGUAGAAGCCUAUGUUGCGUUAUCUUCGGACAGGGGUUCGACUCCCCUCGCCUCCACCA
This 364-nucleotide transfer-messenger RNA is filed under the name Paenibacillaceae. Its description in RNAcentral is "Paenibacillus_B aquistagni Standard tmRNA". It matches the Rfam family "transfer-messenger RNA". From Rfam's summary of the family: Bacterial tmRNA, also known as 10Sa RNA or SsrA, is named for its dual tRNA and mRNA-like properties. Its role is to liberate the mRNA from a stalled ribosome. The record is from RNAcentral. Lineage: Bacteria; Bacillati; Bacillota; Bacilli; Caryophanales. RNAcentral also lists the same sequence under 1 other name.